This 253-nucleotide ribosomal RNA is filed under the name uncultured bacterium. Its description in RNAcentral is "partial 16S ribosomal RNA". It matches the Rfam family "Bacterial small subunit ribosomal RNA", at positions 524 to 776 of the family's 1533-position model. The record is from RNAcentral.
UACGUAGGGUGCGAGCGUUGUCCGGAAUUACUGGGCGUAAAGAGCUCGUAGGUGGUUUGUCGCGUCUGCCGUGAAAGUCCGGGGCUCAACUCCGGAUCUGCGGUGGGUACGGGCAGACUAGAGUGAUGUAGGGGAGACUGGAAUUCCUGGUGUAGCAGUGAAAUGCGCAGAUAUCAGGAGGAACACCGAUGGCGAAGGCAGGUCUCUGGGCAUUAACUGACGCUGAGGAGCGAAAGCAUGGGGAGCGAACAGG